CCUACGAGUGGCUGCAGUGAGGAAUAUUGGUCAAUGGGCGCGAGCCUGAACCAGCCAAGUAGCGUGAAGGAUGACUGCCCUACGGGUUGUAAACUUCUUUUAUAAAGGAAUAAAGUGAGGCACGUGGGCCUUUUUGUAUGUACUUUAUGAAUAAGGAUCGGCUAACUCCGUGCCAGCAGCCGCGGUAAUACGGAGGUUCCGAGCGUUAUCCGGAUUUAUUGGGUUUAAAGGGAGCGUAGAUGGGUUGUUAAGUCAGUUGUGAAAGUUUGCGGCUCAACCGUAAAAUUGCAAUUGAUACUGGCAGUCUUGAGUACAGUUGAGGUAGGCGGAAUUCGUGGUGUAGCGGUGAAAUGCUUAGAUAUCACGAAGAACUCCGAUUGCGAAGGCAGCUUACUAAACUGCCACUGACAUUGAUGCUCGAAAGUGUGGGUAUCAAACAGGAUUAGAUACCCCUGUAGUC
This 460-nucleotide ribosomal RNA is filed under the name uncultured bacterium. RNAcentral's name for it is "partial 16S ribosomal RNA". It matches the Rfam family "Bacterial small subunit ribosomal RNA", at positions 338 to 795 of the family's 1533-position model. The record is from RNAcentral.